RNAcentral lists this ribosomal RNA (977 nucleotides) under uncultured bacterium. Its description in RNAcentral is "bacterial SSU rRNA". It matches the Rfam family "Bacterial small subunit ribosomal RNA", at positions 8 to 1017 of the family's 1533-position model. The record is from RNAcentral.
AGAGUUUGAUCAUGGCUCAGAAUCAACGCUGGCGGCGCGCCUAACACAUGCAAGUCGAACGAGAAAGUGGAGCAAUCCAUGAGUACAGUGGCGUACGGGUGAGUAACACGUGGAUCAUCUGCCUCUUAGUGUGGAAUAACCCUGGGAAACCGGGGCUAAUACCGCAUAAUCCCGGGAGGGGAAAGCAGCAAUGCGCUGAGAGAGGAGUCCGCGGCCGAUUAGCUAGUUGGCAGGGUAAAAGCCUACCAAGGCAAAGAUCGGUAGCCGGCCUGAGAGGGCACACGGCCACACUGACACUGAAACACGGGCCAGACUCCUACGGGAGGCAGCAGUGGGGAAUCUUGCACAAUGGGGGAAACCCUGAUGCAGCGACGCCGCGUGAGCGAUGAAGCCCUUCGGGGUGUAAAGCUCUUUCGGCAGGGAAGAUGAUGACGGUACCUGCAGAAGCAGCUGCGGCUAACUACGUGCCAGCAGCCGCGGUAAUACGUAGGCAGCAAGCGUUGUUCGGAGUUACUGGGCGUAAAGGGUGUGUAGGCGGUUGUUUAAGUUUGGUGUGAAAUCUCCCGGCUCAACUGGGAGGGUGCGCCGAAUACUGAAUGACUCGAGUGCGGGAGAGGAGAGUGGAAUUCCUGGUGUAGCGGUGAAAUGCGUAGAUAUCAGGAGGAACACCGGCGGUGUAGACGGCUCUCUGGACCGUAACUGACGCUGAAACACGAAAGCGUGGGUAGCAAACAGGAUUAGAUACCCUGGUAGUCCACGCCCUAAACGAUGCAUAUUUGGUGUGGGUCAUUCAGUUGAUCCGUGCCGGAGCUAACGCGUUAAAUAUGCCGCCUGGGGAGUACAGUCGCAAGGCUGAACUCAAAGGAAUUGACGGGGGCCCGCACAAGCGGUGGAGCAUGUGGUUCAAUUCGACGCAACGCGAAGAACCUUACCUGGGCUCGACGGCUGGUCCACCGCCGGUGGAAACAUCGGUACCG